CGCUAGCUACAGGCUUAACACAUGCAAGUCGAGGGGAAACGACAUCGAAAGCUUGCUUUUGAUGGGCGUCGACCGGCGCACGGGUGAGUAACGCGUAUCCAACCUGCCCACCACUUGGGAAUAACCUUGCGAAAGUAAGACUAAUACCCAAUGAUAUCUCUAGAAGGCAUCAGAGAGAGAUUAAAGAUUUAUCGGUGAUGGAUGGGGAUGCGUCUGAUUAGCUUGUUGGCGGGGUAACGGCCCACCAAGGCUACGAUCAGUAGGGGUUCUGAGAGGAAGGUCCCCCACAUUGGAACUGAGACACGGUCCAAACUCCUACGGGAGGCAGCAGUGAGGAAUAUUGGUCAAUGGACGAGAGUCUGAACCAGCCAAGUAGCGUGCAGGAUGACGGCCCUAUGGGUUGUAAACUGCUUUUAUAAGGGAAUAAAGUGAGUCUCGUGAGACUUUUUGCAUGUACCUUAUGAAUAAGGACCGGCUAAUUCCGUGCCAGCAGCCGCGGUAAUACGGAAGGUCCGGGCGUUAUCCGGAUUUAUUGGGUUUAAAGGGAGCGUAGGCCGGAGAUUAAGCGUGUUGUGAAAUGUAGAUGCUCAACAUCUGCACUGCAGCGCGAACUGGUUUCCUUGAGUACGCACAAAGUGGGCGGAAUUCGUGGUGUAGCGGUGAAAUGCUUAGAUAUCACGAAGAACUCCGAUUGCGAAGGCAGCUCACUGGAGCGCAACUGACGCUGAAGCUCGAAAGUGCGGGUAUCGAACAGGAUUAGAUACCCUGGUAGUCCGCACGGUAAACGAUGGAUGCCCGCUGUUGGUCUGAAUAGGUCAGCGGCC
Molecule: ribosomal RNA, 824 nt
Filed under: uncultured bacterium
Lineage: Bacteria
Description: bacterial SSU rRNA
Rfam family: Bacterial small subunit ribosomal RNA
Source: RNAcentral